RNAcentral lists this ribosomal RNA (464 nucleotides) under uncultured bacterium. RNAcentral's name for it is "partial 16S ribosomal RNA". It matches the Rfam family "Bacterial small subunit ribosomal RNA", at positions 29 to 507 of the family's 1533-position model. The record is from RNAcentral.
ACGAACGCUGGCGUGCUUAACACAUGCAAGUCGAACGGAAAGGCCCUGCUUUUGUGGGGUGCUCGAGUGGCGAACGGGUGAGUAACACGUGAGUAACCUGCCCUUGACUUUGGGAUAACUUCAGGAAACUGGGGCUAAUACCGGAUAGGAGCUCCUGCUGCAUGGUGGGGGUUGGAAAGUUUCGGCGGUUGGGGAUGGACUCGCGGCUUAUCAGCUUGUUGGUGGGGUAGUGGCUUACCAAGGCUUUGACGGGUAGCCGGCCUGAGAGGGUGACCGGCCACAUUGGGACUGAGAUACGGCCCAGACUCCUACGGGAGGCAGCAGUGGGGAAUAUUGCACAAUGGGCGGAAGCCUGAUGCAGCAACGCCGCGUGCGGGAUGACGGCCUUCGGGUUGUAAACCGCUUUCGCCUGUGACGAAGCGUGAGUGACGGUAAUGGGUAAAGAAGCACCGGCUAACUACGUG